UGCACUCACUAUUGUAAGUCGCUUUGGAUAAGAGCACCUGCUAAAUGACUCAGA
Non-coding RNA from Salmo salar (Atlantic salmon), 54 nucleotides. The record is from Rfam. NCBI's taxonomy places the organism in Eukaryota, Metazoa, Chordata, Actinopteri, Salmoniformes, Salmonidae.